CGACCGGCCGUUAGAAGUGACUGUAUCACUUUGCGACAUUUUACGACAGUUGACAAAAUGUCUCUUACAUUUCCAGACAGACUGUCAAUAAACAUUAACAGAGUAAAGGAGACUGCUCUGAUCGAGACACGAGUGUUAUCCUGUUUAGUUCCCAAAGGAGAACUAAAGAAGUUCCGCAUAAUUUCAGAUCUGUCAGCCUUGUUUUCAGGAAUAGCCUUUCUAAAUCAUCGUUUCUAAAUACCAGAGCACACUCUAGUGGUCAUAGUUUAGACAGGUGGUCAAAACAAAACAAAAACAAGAAUCUGAACCAUAGACUAUAAAAUAGAUCUGAACACAUGACUUUUUCCACCACUGACUUUAUUACACAGCAAUAGUUGAUUGGUUCAGUUGCAAAAAAUAAGAUGGCAAUAUUACAUUUUUUGUGAUUAACUUUAGAAGUUGUCUGGCUUUCAUCAAAAAAGCUUUCCUUUUUAAGGCUAUUGAGGAUGAAGAUGGUGAUCCAGAGCACAUUCAGACUCAGUCUUCACCUGAAACACCGUCCCGUAAAGGUGGAAAAGCUAAAGGGAAAAAAGUGGAUUCAGACGCAGACGUCACAGGGGAGGAAGAUGCAUUUUCCAAGUUGAAGGUGGAGCAAACACAGAGCAGCUGAUUUAGAGGUGGUAAUGACGGCU
Molecule: long non-coding RNA, 671 nt
Organism: Notolabrus celidotus (New Zealand spotty)
Lineage: Eukaryota; Metazoa; Chordata; Actinopteri; Labriformes; Labridae
Exons: 3
Source: RefSeq, a predicted model, not a curated record